Molecule: ribosomal RNA, 253 nt
Filed under: uncultured bacterium
Lineage: Bacteria
Description: partial 16S ribosomal RNA
Rfam family: Bacterial small subunit ribosomal RNA
Source: RNAcentral
UACGGGGGGUGCGAGCGUUGUCCGGAAUCACUGGGCGUAAAGGGCGCGUAGGUGGUUUGAUAAGGGUGUGGUGAAAGUCCGGGGCUCAACCCCGGAUCUGCCGUGCCGACUGUCAAACUCGAGGGCUGUAGAGGCAGACGGAAUUCCGGGUGUAGCGGUGGAAUGCGUAGAGAUGUGGAGGAACACCGAUGGCGAAGGCAGCCCCCUGGGUCAAGAUUGACGCUCAUGCACGAAAGCGUGGGGAGCAAACAGG